GUCUAAAAAUACAUCAGUUUCCUGUGUGGACAACACUAGCAUUCUGAACUACGGCAUGUCUAAACCUCUUUCCAGGAUUACUUGCCUUCCCCCAAACAUUCUGGAAGAAAUUCAUAUUCAUACAACACCAUAGUCCACAAGUUUGUGUUACCUCUACCAGUCUAACGUGGCUGUUAAUUUUCAAAAGACAGUAGUAGAUCUAUUUACAAGUAGGAUAUUCCUAUAUCUCAAUCCUGCUGUAACCUUGCACCUUCUGAACCUGAUUCUGGACCAUCUUCCU
This 280-nucleotide long non-coding RNA is filed under the name Oryza brachyantha (malo sina). RNAcentral's name for it is "long non-coding RNA (OBRA_LNC003604)". The record is from RNAcentral. Lineage: Eukaryota; Viridiplantae; Streptophyta; Magnoliopsida; Poales; Poaceae.